This 465-nucleotide ribosomal RNA is filed under the name uncultured bacterium. RNAcentral describes it as "partial 16S ribosomal RNA". It matches the Rfam family "Bacterial small subunit ribosomal RNA", at positions 339 to 795 of the family's 1533-position model. The record is from RNAcentral.
CUACGGGUGGCUCCAGUGGGGAAUAUUGGACAAUGGGGGAAACCCUGAUCCAGCAAUGCCGCGUGUGUGAAGAAGGCCUGCGGGUUGUAAAGCACUUUCGGUUGGGAGGACUGCUUCUAGCACUAAUAUUGUCGGAAGUUGACGUUACCUUCAGAAGAAGCACCGGCUAACUCCGUGCCAGCAGCCGCGGUAAUACGGAGGGUGCAAGCGUUAAUCGGAAUUACUGGGCGUAAAGCGCGCGUAGGCGGCUAGAUCAGUCGGGUGUGAAAGCCCCGGGCUUAACCUGGGAACUGCAUCCGAUACUGUCUAGCUUGAGUACAGGAGAGGAGAGUGGAAUUCCACAUGUAGCGGUGAAAUGCGUAGAUAUGUGGAGGAACACCAAUGGCGAAGGCAGCUCUCUGGCCUGAUACUGACGCUUAGGUGCGAAAGCGUGGGGAGCAAACAGGAUUAGAUACCCUCGUAGUC